GCAAGUCGAGCGAGAAGGUUUUAAAUGAUUCUUCGGAUGAAUUUAAAACUAGAGAGCGGCGGACGGGUGAGUAACGCGUGGGUAACCUGCCCUAUGGAGGGGGAUAACGUUUUGAAAAGAACGCUAAUACCGCAUAAGCGCACAGUAUCUCAUGAUACAGUGUGAAAAACUCCGGUGCCAUAGGAUGGACCCGCGUAAGAUUAGCUAGUUGGUAAGGUAACGGCUUACCAAGGCGACGAUCUUUAGCCGACCUGAGAGGGUGAUC
RNAcentral lists this ribosomal RNA (265 nucleotides) under uncultured bacterium. Its description in RNAcentral is "partial 16S ribosomal RNA". It matches the Rfam family "Bacterial small subunit ribosomal RNA", at positions 57 to 305 of the family's 1533-position model. The record is from RNAcentral.